This 63-nucleotide microRNA precursor is filed under the name Pongo abelii (Sumatran orangutan). RNAcentral describes it as "miRNA". The record is from RNAcentral. Lineage: Eukaryota; Metazoa; Chordata; Mammalia; Primates; Hominidae.
CCCAUCAGGGCUCAGGGAUUGGACGGGGAUAGAUCUCACCCUCCCUUCUUCCUGGGCCCUCAG